GAUGAACGCUAGCGGCAGGCCUAAUACAUGCAAGCCGAACGGCAAGAUUUUCAGCAAUGGAAAUCCUAGAGUGGCGUAAGGGUGCGUAACACGUAUGCAAUCUGCCCUCAACAGGAGGAUAGCUCCCCGAAAGGGGAAUUAAGACUCCAUAAGAUCUUAGAGUGGCAUCACUUAGAGAUUAAACUACCAGGGGUUGAGGAUGAGCAUGCGCAUGAUUAGUUAGUUGGCGGGGUAACGGCCCACCAAGACGAUGAUCAUUAGGGGAACUGAGAGGUUGAUCCCCCACACUGGCACUGAGAUACGGGCCAGACUCCUACGGGAGGCAGCAGUAGGGAAUAUUGGACAA
RNAcentral lists this ribosomal RNA (346 nucleotides) under uncultured bacterium. RNAcentral describes it as "bacterial SSU rRNA". It matches the Rfam family "Bacterial small subunit ribosomal RNA", at positions 28 to 371 of the family's 1533-position model. The record is from RNAcentral.